GAAUGUGAAGGCCAUCUGGCUGUGAAAUCUGUCACCCCCUUGAUCCCCACGGUUGAUUUGGAUGAUGUAUCUGGCUAGGCAGGUUUCUCCUUCCCCCUCACCACUCCAUAUGUGGCCCUUCCACAGCUGCCCUCUUGGUUGAAGAGGACUGUUUUUUUUUUUAAAUUAUUAUUAAAA
This 177-nucleotide small nuclear RNA is filed under the name Neotoma lepida (desert woodrat). RNAcentral's name for it is "7SK RNA". It matches the Rfam family "7SK RNA". From Rfam's summary of the family: 7SK was discovered as an abundant small nuclear RNA in the mid-70s but a possible function has only recently been suggested. The record is from Rfam by way of RNAcentral. Lineage: Eukaryota; Metazoa; Chordata; Mammalia; Rodentia; Cricetidae.